GUAGGUGAACCUGCGGAAGGAUCAUUAAACGUUUUCCAACGUACCAACCAUGUGAACUCGUUUUCGAGUGUCUGAGGUCGGCCUUGAGUGCGUCAAAGUAUGGUGGGCAUCUCUGUCUUUUUUGUGCAGGGCUCUGCUGUUUGACGUUCUGCAUCACGACUCGCGUCGUGUGACAAGCCGUGCCUCGGCAACCAUUUUUUUUUAUUUUAUUUUAAAACGCAUUGUACCACUCGUACUAACACUUUGUGAA
This 250-nucleotide unclassified non-coding RNA is filed under the name plant metagenome. RNAcentral's name for it is "partial contains small subunit ribosomal RNA, internal transcribed spacer 1, and 5.8S ribosomal RNA". The record is from RNAcentral.